Small nucleolar RNA from Molossus molossus (Pallas's mastiff bat), 214 nucleotides. RefSeq annotates it as small nucleolar RNA U3. The transcript has a single exon. The record is from RefSeq and is a predicted model, not a curated record. Lineage: Eukaryota; Metazoa; Chordata; Mammalia; Chiroptera; Molossidae.
AAGACUAUACUUUCAGGAAACAUUUCUAUAGUUUGUUACUAGAGAAGUUUCUUUGAUGGUGUAGAGCACCCAAGACUAUGAGGAGGAGAUACAGCAUUUUCUCCUGAGUGUGAAUCCAGCUCUUGGUGUUGCUUUGGUAACUGCCAUUUGCCAUUGAUGACUGUUCUUAUUCUAUCCUCAGAGAGAAUCAGGGGGAGAACGUGUUCUGAGUGGG